Molecule: ribosomal RNA, 468 nt
Filed under: uncultured bacterium
Lineage: Bacteria
Description: partial 16S ribosomal RNA
Rfam family: Bacterial small subunit ribosomal RNA
Source: RNAcentral
GACGAACGCUGGCGGCGUGCCUAACACAUGCAAGUCGAACGGAAAGGCCCUGCUUUUGUGGGGUGCUCGAGUGGCGAACGGGUGAGUAACACGUGAGUAACCUGCCCUUGACUGUGGGAUAACUUCAGGAAACUUGGGCUAAUACCGGAUAGGAUCUCCUGCUGCAUGGUGGGGGUUGGAAAGUUUCGGCGGUUGGGGAUGGACUCGCGGCUUAUCAGCUUGUUGGUGGGGUAGUGGAUUACCAUGGCUUUGACGGGUAGCCGGCCUGAGAGGGUGACCGGCCACAUUGGGACUGAGAUACGGCCCAGACUCGUAUGGGAGGCAGCGGUGGAGAGUAUUGCACAGUGGGCGGAAGCCUGAUGCAGCAACGCCGCGUGCGGGAUGACGGCCUUCGGGUUGUAAACCGAUUUCGCCUGUGACGAAGCGUGAGUGACGGUAAUGGGUAAAGAAGCACCGGCUAACUACGUG